UGUGUAGGUGGCGCGCUAAGUCGGGUGUGAAAUUUCGGAGCUCAACUCCGAAAUGGCAUUGGAAACUACCUUGCUCGAGGGUUGGAGGGGGGACUGGAAUGCUUGGUGUAGCAGUGAAAUGCGUAGAUAUCAAGCGGAACACCAGUGGCGAAGGCGAGUCCCUGGACAACUCCUGACACUGAGGCACGAAAGCUAGGGGAGCAAACA
Molecule: ribosomal RNA, 207 nt
Filed under: uncultured bacterium
Lineage: Bacteria
Description: partial 16S ribosomal RNA
Rfam family: Bacterial small subunit ribosomal RNA
Source: RNAcentral